AAAGUUUCUAGUACAACCGAUUCCCAAACAAUCAAAUCUAAAAACAUCCAAGGCCAAAGCAGGUAGACAAUAAUCCCAAAAAUAUGGAUGUUGUGCUUGAGCACCAAAUGAAACAAAUAAAAUGAAAGAAAUAACUCUCAAUUUAUUAACUGAUUGAGAUAACAAAUGUACAAAGAAUAAUCUCACAAAUUGGCUCACUCAAAUUAUUUCUACGUGAGCUCCUUUUAUUACAAAACAAAUGGUUUGCAUUCUAAUAUGUAAAGCCAUAAACAAGUUUGUGAUUGAGAGAAAAAUAAGGAUAACCAAUACAAAGUAAUUGACCAAGAUUUAUAUCGAGUCACAUGUCAACAAUCUCCACCUCGGCGAGAUUCGUAAUCACGAACAUAUUCAGGCACAUAGUAUAUGAGCUAUGUUCAAACAAUGCUCAAACUUGGUAGGUCCGAGCGGUUUAGUUAACAUAUCAGCUGGAUUAUUUGCAGUUGGAACUUUCUGAAGAAUAAUCUUUCUUUUGGACAAAAUCUCACGAAUAAAAUGAAACCGAACAUCGAUAUGCUUUGUCCUCGAAUGAUAAACUUGGUAUUUAGACAAGUGAAUAGCACUUUGACUAUCACAAUGUAGCUCCACUUGCUUUUGAUAAAUUCCUAGAUUCUUUGUUAGUCCAUGUAUCCAAAUGACCUCCUUUACAGCUUCUGCAAUAGCCAUAUAUUCGGCCUCCGUUGUUGACAAAGAGAUUGUGGAUUGUAGUGUGGACCUCCAACAACUGGCCAUUUGGCCAUGGUAAAUAAGUAGCCAGUAGUCAAUCUUCUUUUAUCCAAAUCUCCAGCAUAGUCAGAAUCAACAUAUCCAACCACAAAAUUCUCAAAACUACUAUCACUUUGCUGAAAACAUAAGCUGACAUCUCUAAUCCCAUGUAGGUAUCUUAGAAUCCACUUAGCUGCUUGCCAAUGUUUUUUUCCUAGAUUGUGCAUAUAGCGACUAACCAAACCAACGACAUGAGCAAUAUCUGGUCGAGAAUAUACCAUAAUAUACAUCAAGCCACCAACCAAAUUAGAAUAUGGAAUAUUCUUCAUCUGCAGCUUCUCUUCAUUGUUUUUUUGGAGAUAACAAAGCACUCAACUUAAAGUGAAGAGCCAUUAGAGUACUUACAUGUCUGGUGGCAUCAUUAAUACCAAAACAUUGAAGCAAUUUACACAAAUAUUGCUUUUGUGUAAGAUACACCAAGCAUUUUUCUCGGUUACGAAUAAUUUCCAUACCGAGUACCUUUUUCGCUUCACCAAGAUCUUUCAUCUCAAACUUGUUCUUCAUCUGUGCUUUCAACUUUUCAAUCUCCUUAACAUUCUUUGAUGCAAUUAACAUAUCAUCAACAUACAAUAAUAAAUAAAUGAAGGAUCCAUCUUGCAACUUUUUGAAAUAAACACAAUGAUCAUAUUGACUUCUUAAAUAGUGUUGACCUUUCAUGAAUUCAUCAAACUUCAAAUACCACUGUCUUGGAGAUUGCUUCAAUUCAUACAAAGACUUAUUCAGUUUACAAACACAUUUCUCUUUUCCAGUUACCUGAUACCGAUCAGGCUGAGACAUGUAAAUUUCUUCAUCAAGAUCUUCUUGUAAGAAAGUCGUCUUAGCAUCAAGUUGCACUAGUUCAAGAUCAAAUUGUGCAACAAAGGCUAACAUAAUACGAAUAGAUGAAUGCUUCACAACAGGAGAAAAUACUUCAUUAUAAUCAAUACCUUCAUUUUGUGCAUAUCCUUUUGCUACCACUCGUGCUUUGAAUCUUACAUUGUCUUCUCCUGGACGACUUUCCUUUUUAGUAUACACCCACUUGCAGCCAAUAACUCUCUUACUGGGAGGCAAUUGAACUAACUCCCAAGUGUUGUUCUUCACAAGAGAAUUCAUUUCUUCAUCCAUAGCCUUACCCCAUUCUGUAUUUUUAAAGCGGUUCAUAGCUUCCUUAUAACUUUCUGGGAUUUCUGCAUUAAUAAUAGGAAGAGCAUAAGCAACAUAAUCACUAUAUCUUACUGGUCUCUUUGUGUUUCUCUUGCCUUUGCUUGUAGCAAUGCACUCUAUAACUGGAGGCUAUUGGGUAUAAGCCUCUUCUUCAUCAUGGGAAGAGACAUCUUUAUCUUCUUGACCUUCAUUUACUUUUUGUUCAAUCAAAACAGGCAGUGGAGUAGGUAGCAAUCUUUUCAAACACUUGUCUUUGAGUUGCUUUGUAACAUAGAAGUUUCGUCAAAAGUCACAUCUCUGCUGAUUACAAGUUUCUUCAAAUCUGGACACCACAAAUGGUAACCUUUGACGCCGCUGUUAAAGCCCACAAAAUAGCCUUCUUGGCUCUUGGAUCAAGCUUACUUUGAGUCACAUGGAAAUAAACGAACAACCAAAAAUAUGAAGAAAAUCAUAAUCAGAAGCUCGUUUUCCAGUCCACUUCUCAAUAGGUGUUUUAAAUUCAAUUGCAAACGAAGGUAAACGAUUGAUAAUGUGACAAGCAUAUGUAAUUGUCUUUGCCCAAAAUGCCUUACUUAAACCAGAUUGAGCCAACAUGCAUCUAACUUUUUUGAGUAACGUUCUGUUUAACCUUUCAGCAACUCCAUUUUGUUGGGGAGUACCAAGAACAGUGAAAUGCCUUAUUAUACCUUCUUCUCUACAAACUUUGAAAAAUGAAUCAGAGGUGUAUUCACCACCAUUAUCUAACCUCAAAAAUUUAAUUUUCUUACCAGUUUGGUUUUCAACCAUUUUCUUCUAGUUUAAGAAAAUAUUUAACACCUCAUCUUUGUGUUCCAUUGUAUAAACCCAAGCUCUUCUAGAGUAGUCAUCAACAAAAGUUACAAACCAGUGCUUACCACUCAAUGAUGUAGUCUUGGUGGGACCCCAAACAUCUGAAUGCACAUAAUCUAUGAUUCCUUUAGUUUGAUGCACAACAAUACCAAAUUUAACUCUGGUUUGCUUACCCAAGACAAAAUGCUCGCAAAAGUCGAGCUUGCAAGUUUUGGCUCCUUUCAGCAGUCCUUGUUUCAGAAGGGCUUGAAGAGCUUUUUCACCAGUAUGUCCAAGUUUCAUAUGCCAUAACUUGGUGUUGUCAGUAUCUGGUUUUUCAGAAAUUAUGGCUGCACCACCUAAAAAUGUUUUCCCCUGCAGGAAAUAUAUAUUCUGCUUUCGGAUUCCCUUCAUCGUAACCAAAGCACCUUUAGAAACUUUUAGAAUACUAUCUGACAUAUUUACAUUAAACCCAUUGCUUUCCAAGGCAUCCAAAGAAAUUAAAAUUUUCUUCAAAGCAAGAACAUACCACACAUUGGACAACUCUCUAACGAUGCCAUCAUGGUAUUUCAACUUAAUUGUUCAUACUCUAUUUUUAUCACAUGCAUAAUCAUUACCCAAUAAAACAGUUCCCGCCUUUACAACUUCUAGAUUAGUAAACCAAUUUCGAUUUGGACACAUAUGAUGAGAACAACAAGAAUCCAAAAUCCAUACAUCAGAAUCACAAGCAGAAGAAUAGCCAAAGCAUAAUCAGAUUCAUCGCCACUAAGUGCAACGUUAGCAUUGGUGUUUCUAUUAUUCUUCUGCAGCUUAGGGCAAUCAUUUAUCCAAUGUCCCUUUGUAUGACAAAAUGCACAUUCAUCCUUGUCUAAUAUUUUUCUAUUUUGUGAGUUACCUCGUGGUCGAGAUUGAGAUCUUCUUCUGUUAUUAAAUCUCCGUCUUUCAUUCAUUCUGUCUCCAACAAACAAAGCAUUUGAUGCUGUAUUCUGGACUUGCUUAUCUAUGGAUUCACGCAAACAAACAAAAAACAUAAUUAAUUGAAACCCUUUUAAAUGAAUAAUAUAUAUAUAUAUAUAUAGAAUCGGGGGGACAUCGAACACACAAUUUGACACUUUUUUUUUUUGAUAGGAAAAAAAAAGAUUUCAUUAAACAGAAAUGUUUCUAGUACAACCGAUUCCCAAACAAUCAAAUCUAGAAACAUACAAGGCCGAAGCAGGUAGACAAUAAUCUCAAAAAUAUAGAUGUUGUGCUUGAGCACCAAAUGAAACAAAUAAAAUGAAAGAAAUAACUCUCAAUUUAUUAACUGAUUGAGAUAACAAAUGUACAAAGAAUAAUCUCACAAAUUGGCUCACUCAAAUUAUUUCUAUGUGAGCUCCUUUUAUUACAAAACAAAUGGUUUGCCUUCUAAUACGUAAUGUCAUAAACAAGUUUGUGAUUGAGAGAAAAACAAGGAUAACCAAUACAAAGUAAUUGACCAAGAUUUAUAUCGAGCCACAUGUCAACAAUCUCCACCUUGGCGAGAUUCGUAAUCACAAACAUAUUCAGGCACAUAGUAUAUGAGCUAUGUUCAAACAAUGCUCAAACUUGGUAGGUCCGAGCACAUUAGUUAACAUAUCAGCUGGGUUGUCUACAGUUGGAACUUUAGUUAACAUAUCAGCUGGGCUGUCUGCAGUUGGAACUUUCUGAAGAAUAAUCUUUCUUUUGGACAAAAUCUCACGAAUAAAAUGAAACCGAACAUCGAUAUGCUUUGUCCUCGAAUGAUAAACUUGGUAUUUAGACAAGUGAAUAGCACUUUGACUAUCACAUUGUAGCUCCACUUGCUUUUGAUAAAUUCCUAGAUUCUUUAUCAGUCCAUGUAUCCAAAUGGCUUCCUUUACAGUUUCUGCAAUAGCCAUAUAUUCGGCCUCCGUUGUUGACAAAGUGACUGUGGAUUGUAGUGUAGACCUCCAACAACUGGCCCUUUGGCCAUGGUAAAUAAGUAGCCAGUAGUCAAUCUUCUUUUAUCCAAAUCUCCAGCAUAGUCAGAAUCAACAUAUCCAACCACAAAAUUCUCAAAACUACUAUCACUUUGCUGAAAACAUAAGCUGACAUCUCUAGUCCCAUGUAGGUAUCUUAGAAUCCACUUAGCUGUUUGUCAAUGUUCUUUUCCUAGAUUGUGCAUAUAGCAAACCAACGAUAUGAGCAUAUCUGGUCGAGACAUACCAUAGUAUACAUCAAGCCACCAACCAAAUUAGAAUAUGGAAUAUUCUUCAUCUACAACUUCUCUUCAUUGUUUUUUGGAGAUAACAAAGCACUCAACUUAAAGUGAAGAGCCAUUGGAGUACUUAUAGGUUUGGCGGCAUCAUUAAUACCAAAACAUUGAAGCAAUUUACACAAAUAUUGCUUUUGUGUAAGAUACACCAAGCAUUUUUCUCGGUUACGAGUAAUUUCCAUA
This 5185-nucleotide long non-coding RNA is filed under the name Malus domestica (apple). RNAcentral describes it as "long non-coding RNA (MDOM_LNC002100)". Lineage: Eukaryota; Viridiplantae; Streptophyta; Magnoliopsida; Rosales; Rosaceae. The record is from RNAcentral.